This 253-nucleotide ribosomal RNA is filed under the name uncultured bacterium. RNAcentral's name for it is "partial 16S ribosomal RNA". It matches the Rfam family "Bacterial small subunit ribosomal RNA", at positions 524 to 776 of the family's 1533-position model. The record is from RNAcentral.
UACGUAGGGCGCAAGCGUUGUCCGGAAUUAUUGGGCGUAAAGAGCUCGUAGGCGGCCUGUUACGUCUGCUGUGAAAUCCUGGGGCUUAACCCCGGGCGUGCAGUGGAUACGGGCGGGCUAGAGGCAGGCAGGGGAGAACGGAAUUCCCGGUGUAGCGGUGAAAUGCGCAGAUAUCGGGAGGAACACCGGUGGCGAAGGCGGUUCUCUGGGCCUGUACUGACGCUGAGGAGCGAAAGCGUGGGGAGCAAACAGG